Papaver somniferum (opium poppy) is the source of this 1325-nucleotide long non-coding RNA. RefSeq lists it as uncharacterized. The transcript is spliced from 7 exons. The record is from RefSeq and is a predicted model, not a curated record. Lineage: Eukaryota; Viridiplantae; Streptophyta; Magnoliopsida; Ranunculales; Papaveraceae.
ACCGCCCACUAACUUCGCAUCUAGCAAAAAGAAACACGAUCUCUCGUUUCCCUCCGCAUACCAAUUCCUCACCAUUUUCUUUUUCUCUACAAAUACUCAAACCUCCGAAAGAAGAAUUGAACGUAGACCACUUACAGCAUUGAAAUCUCCUUAGUCCUUCUCUUCUUCACUCUACCUCAUUUGAAAAACUAGUGUUUCGGUUCCCAUCUCUCUUUGACAAGGAAAACAGAACUAUGAAUCCAUUUCAGCAUUUGGGUUUCUGUCUAGGGUUUCAACUCCGGUAUUUCUAAUCUGAUUUUGUGUUUGAAAUUGGUACUUUUCACUGUUUCUGAAUGAAUCUGGGAAACUUUUUCUAUUGGAUCUUCAAAGGGAAGGAAACAAAAGUAAAGCAAGAAGAUUGAAAUAAGUUAUGCCAAGUAUAGAAUGGAAGAUCAACAAACCGAAGAGCAAGGCUCUUCAGGAAGUUGACUAGGGGUGUUAGAGGCUACAUUCAGAAGAAAAUAUAAUAUACUGCAGGUCCUGUCCCUAAAACUGAAAAAGUUUGAGGUGCUACCGCUCUUGCAUCUUUCAUGGGAAAUUGGAUCCUAAGGCGUAACUCAACUGAGGAUGGCCAGAAUUUACCUAGCGGAGACAGUCAAACGGAGACACUAUAUUCCGAUUGCAUCGGACAAAGCUUUGGGAUAUGAAACAAUUAACAAUGGGAGGCCAUAAGGAAUGGUUAAUGGCAAGAAUUUAAGAAUUGCUAAUCACAGUCACAGGUCAUAUAUACUUAUUCUCCACAAUCACUAUCGUCACCUCCACCUCUACCAUAAUGAUUUCCAUGUUCACCGGCAUACCCUCCUUUUUUCAACACUGGUACCACCACUAAUUUCACUACCAUAUUAACCUCCAAUAGCAGAUUUGCAGACCCCCCUCCAUUACUACCAGCACCAUCCCUGUAACAACCAGCAUGUUCAACUCCAGCACCAUAGGCAGAACAACUACCAGAAUCACUGCUAAAACCACCUCCACUGCCAUGGCUUAUACCAUGUUCAACUCCAACACCACUACCAGAAUAACCUCUUCUACCAGAACCAUGCUCGCCGAGAAUGUUACAUUGAGGCUACAACUUUUUGCUGAUAAUGAGUUAUUGUUGGCUAACUACCGUGCGAUGCAAUAAGAUUGAGUUGACUAACACCUGUUUCACUGUUCGUUUUCUUAAGGUCUACCAUCUCUCGAUGUUCUUUUGUUGAAUCAAAUUUUUAGAUGCUAGUUUUCAUUUGCUUUGCAGGACAUGGCCCAUGAAUGGACUGCUGUAGUAGAUGUCCUAUGUUAUAAGUUGUUGU